Molecule: ribosomal RNA, 515 nt
Filed under: uncultured bacterium
Lineage: Bacteria
Description: partial 16S ribosomal RNA
Rfam family: Bacterial small subunit ribosomal RNA
Source: RNAcentral
GAUGAACGCUGGCGGCGUGCCUAAUACAUGCAAGUCGAGCGAAUGGAUUAAGAGCUUGCUCUUAUGAAGUUAGCGGCGGACGGGUGAGUAACACGUGGGUAACCUGCCCAUAAGACUGGGAUAACUCCGGGAAACCGGGGCUAAUACCGGAUAACAUUUUGAACCGCAUGGUUCGAAAUUGAAAGGCGGCUUCGGCUGUCACUUAUGGAUGGACCCGCGUCGCAUUAGCUAGUUGGUGAGGUAACGGCUCACCAAGGCAACGAUGCGUAGCCGACCUGAAAGGGAGACCGGCCACCCUGGGACUGAGACACGGCCCAGACUCCUACGGGAGGCAGCAGUAGGGAAUCUUCCGCAAUGGACGAAAGUCUGACGGAGCAACGCCGCGUGAGUGAUGAAGGCUUUCGGGUCGUAAAACUCUGUUGUUAGGGAAGAACAAGUGCUAGUUGAAUAAGCUGACACCUUGACGGUACCUAACCAGAAAGCCACGGCUAACUACGUGCCAGCCGCCGCUGUAA